RNAcentral lists this ribosomal RNA (567 nucleotides) under embryophyte environmental sample. Its description in RNAcentral is "eukaryotic LSU rRNA". The stretch from base 174 to 329 matches the Rfam family "5.8S ribosomal RNA". Lineage: Eukaryota; Viridiplantae; Streptophyta. The record is from RNAcentral.
UGACCCGGGAACUCGUUUUCAUAUUGGGGCUCGUCGGCCUAUUGUUUCAUGUCGCCCCGAAUAACACCCCCCGGCACAAUGUGUGCCAAGGAAAACUAAACUUGAGAAGGCUUGUUUCAUGUUGCCCCGUUCGCGGUGCGCUCAUGGAAUGUGGCUUCUUUUUAAUUACAAACGACUCUCGGCAACGGAUAUCUCGGCUCACGCAUCGAUGAAGAACGUAGCAAAAUGCGAUACUUGGUGUGAAUUGCAGAAUCCCGUGAACCAUCGAGUUUUUGAGCGCAAGUUGCGCCCGAAGCCUUUUGGCCGAGGGCACGUCUGCCUGGGCGUCACGCAUCGCGUCGCCCCCAACAAAUAUCUGUUGGGGGCGGAUAUUGGUCUCCCGUGCUCAUGGUGUGGUUGGCCAAAAUAAGAGUCCCUUCGAUGGACACACGAACUAGUGGUGGUCGUAAAAACCCUCGUUCUUUGUUCUGUGUUAGUCGCAAGGAAAAACCCUUCAAAUACCCCAACGCGUUGUCUUAGGAUGACGCUUCGACCGCGACCCCAGGUCAGGCGGGACUACCCGCUGAG